This is a non-coding RNA of Heterocephalus glaber (naked mole-rat), 1693 nucleotides long. NCBI's taxonomy places the organism in Eukaryota, Metazoa, Chordata, Mammalia, Rodentia, Bathyergidae. The record is from RefSeq and is a predicted model, not a curated record.
GGCCUCUGGCUGGCUGCAGAGGUUCCUGGGGCUCCUUCCUCAGUGCCUGUGCCCACUGUGGACAGAAGCCCUUCCCAGCAGGGCUGCUCAGGACCCAAUCCAUGGCACCCUGGCGAUGCGCUGUCAGUUUGUGUUCAGCCCACCUGACCAUGUGGCCUCACUGGGGAUUUAAAUUGCGUUUCCCAAAGGAUCAGUGAUGUGAAAUCUCUGGUGCAGGCACGCGUCACCCCUCCCCAUACUGGGGAUUGAACCCAGGGCCUUCACACUGAGUUACAUCCCCAGUUCCUUUUUCUUUUUUUUUUUUAACUUAUUUUCCAAGUUUUGUUUUUAUUUGGGAUGGGUCUCUCUAAAUUGCCAAGUUGCCCAGGCUGGGCUCAAACUCGCGACCUCCUUGCCUCAGCCUCCCAAAGCUCGAGGGUGACACCGCCAGCCCCGGGUGCUCCACACCUCUGCAGAUGUUUGUCUUAGCCCUUUGGUCUUAUUCUGACUCAGUCCGAAACACCCAGCAGAAGAGUCUAACCAAAGAGAAAGAGGCUCCAAACUCCGCACCUGCUGUUACUGCCAGGCUCUGGGCGCCUCCAGCCCUUGUGGGCAGCUUCCUGUCCCACCAGGCUUCCACCUGUCCUUCUGCCUGCCGCAGGGUAUCCCCACUGUGACACUUGGAUGUACAUGCCAGCAUCCCUCGGGUGAAGAUCUAACUUCCUGUACAGGUUUGUGUUAUCUUGAAGACAGUCACUAUCAAGAUCUUCAGGUCUACAAAGGAAAGGCGGAGGUGCUGAGCCCUUCAUAACCUGAACCCAGGAAAGGAAGACACCCAGGGAGGCAGGAGGCUGUCUACAACUCUUACUAUGUGGAAAGACCUGCCUGGGAUGGAUCCCAAAGAAGUCAGGCCCAGAAUAUCGGCCGGCCGGCAGUUUUAUGGGGUCGCAACCAGGAGGUGCAGAAGCAGAAGCAGAGUAUUUGGCCGUCUUUGGUUGACUCUACCGCUCUGAGCCAAGCUACGCUCACCUGUGCUAUUAUUAGAGCAAACAUUGCACUCACUCCUGACAACUGCAGAUGUGUCUGUCUUCUGAAGACCAACGUUCAGAAAUUAGUGCAACACAGACUCUGCCUUAGGCUUCAGUGACUUGCUGAUGUCCUGAUUUUCCAAAACAACUGAUCAUCAAAGGAUAACAGUCUUCACACAACAGAACCGGAUGUUUCUUGUCUCCUUUACAUCAGUCAGGGUGAGAAUUCAGUCCCUGGCUGGGCAAGACCAAUGCCCACUCUUAGCCUAAAGCAGCUGUAAGAAGAGACCACUGGACCCUGUAACCCUCAGGAAUAAGGGACCAAAGCCUCAGGGGGAAGUAGGAAGAAAUAAAGGAAACUCACUCAAAAAAAUGUCCUCCAUGUCUUCAAGACACAGUAGGCCUGGGCUCAUGCUUCCCCUGAAAAUUACACUUCCUCCUGCAGAAAGGGAGCGGCAGAUCUCAGCUUUGCACAAAGAUGAGUGGUUUGCAUUCUAGCAGCUUCCAGGUGGACAACCAGACAGACAUUAAGGAUGCACAGCCUGGAUACCCAUCUUGAGGACCCCCAAGUCCACACAAAACCCCUACUCCAGACCACAGAUGCCUCUCUUGAGGCCUGCACUCUAUUCUCACUGGACACAUGUCCCUUUUCAUUUCUGCCCAAUAAACCUCUAUUAUGCAUCUCA